This 1588-nucleotide unclassified non-coding RNA is filed under the name Corallorhiza bulbosa. RNAcentral's name for it is "partial external transcribed spacer". The record is from RNAcentral. Lineage: Eukaryota; Viridiplantae; Streptophyta; Magnoliopsida; Asparagales; Orchidaceae.
AAAUUUUGCAAGCAUGCAUUGGCAACAGUUUCAUGAUUUUAUCAUGUUUUAGUUGCCUCUUGCCAUGCCGUGGCUUGGUUUCGGGUUGCCUGAACGGUUGUACUGUUGGCUAGCGGCACGAUGCCUUAAGGACGAAAAUUUUGCCUAACGGCAUGAAGCAUGUUCGUGUGAAAUGUUGGCUAUCAGUAAUCCCGUGGCUUGAUUUUGGGUUUUGUUUGAACGGGGGCAAUGUUUGGUAGCGGCACGAUGCCUCAAUGGCGUAAAUGAUGGCUAGCGGGCAGCAAAACAUGCUUGUGCGUCCGAGCGGUGGAUGGCUUUGUUUUUCAAAAUUGGCACUCAAUGCAAUGCAACUGUUUCAUGACUUCAUCAUGUUCUAGUUGCCUUCUUCUCAUGUUGUGGCAUGGUGUGCUACGGGUUGCUUGAUCGAUUAAAAUGGUGGUUAGCUGUUGGAUGGCCUGAUCGUGUAUAAUAUUGCUUUUUGUUGCCAGUUGCCUUGGCUAUGGUUUGCCAAAUUGUUUGGAAAGUCGGCUAAUGGUGUCAUCGCAAUUACGCUAUGCCGUUCAGAGAAGUCGUCCACCGUUGCUUGUCCGGUGCCUUCGAGAACAAUAAUGAUCGUAUUUGCAAAAAAAACCCCAUCCCUGGGUCCGCUAGGCCGUUUAUCUCCGGAAUGUGUACUGAUCCCGGUGGGGGCCGCGCGGCGACGGGUCGUGGGGGGGUGCUUGGGCCGGUGCGGCCUGCGCGGCUGAUUUAUUUAUAUAAAUCACGACACGCGCGCGCGCCGUGCCCAAGUGCCCUAAGUGCCAAGACAAGCGACCCGAGCGACCCGAGCGACCCGAGCGACCCGAGCGACCCGAGCGACCCGAGCGACCCGAGCGACCCGAGCGACCAGAUCGCGACCCGAGCGACCCUAGCGCAAGAUCGCGAUGUAUUCGUCGAAUGUUCCUCUUCAAUUAUUCGUGCCUCGCGGGUUCUUUUCAUCCCCCAUCGUUACCUUGAUCCUUUGGCUUGACUGAUUUCGGACUGUUCAUACUCUCCGUUACAAGUUAAUGCUAUUGGGCUGGUUGGUGUGGCUAUGCUAGAGACCGUUUGCGGCACAUGAGUUGUAAUGGGUUUUGUUUUUAUUGUCAUGUUUUUGCUUUGUGCGCGGAACUGUCAGUAUAAUAGUCUUCUCACUGUCUCGCUCCUAAUGAAAUAUUUGAAAAACAUCGGAGCUCUAUAUGAGUUGCUUGCGACGUGAAACCCUUAUCAAGGUUGGAAUUAACUUUUGACAAUGCCUCCGUGGUUGGUCUACAUGCCUUUAUUAGAGGCAUGGAGAGUGCUUCAUGGAAUAAGAUCCUUCCAACACUUGUUUCGUAGAUUGUCUCUUGGCAAUCCCUUGAUUCUUUUGCCCCUGGACGUAGGAUCUCAUCAAUUUGUUGCAAAUGUGGCUUCUUUAAAAUGUGUCUUGGUUCCCUAUGGAACCAAGCUCGGAUCGGCUAAUACAAGGCUUGCUGGUUGUGCCUUAUCUCCUCUGUGCGACUUUGUUUCUUUCUCCUCUUUCCAUGCGGGGAUGGUUGUGGGUGAGAACAUUGUUGUGUUGAGGUCGAGC